CUUAGCUACACAAGAUGCUGAAGCAGAAACUUGGAUCAAGACAACUGUAGCAUCUUGCUGGGAAAAAGAUUCAGCAUUAUUCCUUCUGCUUUAAGAAGUUUACAGAUCUCAAAGUUGACAAAAAGAUGGUUUUUUGCAACUUUUUCUGCCAUCCUACUCUUUCUGCUUUAUGCCAUUCACUUUCAUAUUUUAACCUUUUUGAAUAAAUUGACUAGAGGUUAGGUAAAGAAUUAUUUUCUUCCCUUUUUACCCUUUCAUUACAUUUAAGAACUUAUUAGUUCCCUCUGAUUUUUUGACAGCUAUCUUGAGAUAAUUCUGAUUGGAAUUAACCAUUAUGAGUCCUUAUAUGAAAAGCUUAGCUUUCAGAUUUAUGGAGACUGUAACAUAUUUUUGAUUUAUUGAUAACUGCUAGAUAAUUCUUACUAAAGGAAAGUGAAUAAUU
Molecule: long non-coding RNA, 442 nt
Filed under: Bos taurus (domestic cattle)
Lineage: Eukaryota; Metazoa; Chordata; Mammalia; Artiodactyla; Bovidae
Description: long non-coding RNA NONBTAT016652
Source: RNAcentral